This 782-nucleotide ribosomal RNA is filed under the name uncultured bacterium. RNAcentral describes it as "bacterial SSU rRNA". It matches the Rfam family "Bacterial small subunit ribosomal RNA", at positions 723 to 1504 of the family's 1533-position model. The record is from RNAcentral.
AGCUUUCUGGACUAAUACUGACACUGAGGUACGAAAGCGUGGGUAGCAAACAGGAUUAGAUACCCUGGUAGUCCACGCCGUAAACGAUGACAACUAGCCGUUGGGAGGGUUUACCUCUUAGUGGCGAAGCUAACGCGUUAAGUUGUCCGCCUGGGGAGUACGGCCGCAAGGUUAAAACUCAAAGGAAUUGACGGGGACCCGCACAAGCGGUGGAGCAUGUGGUUUAAUUCGAUGCAACGCGAAGAACCUUACCUGGUCUUGACAUACACGGAACUUUCCAGAGAUGGAUUGGUGCCUUCGGGAACCGUGAUACAGGUGCUGCAUGGCUGUCGUCAGCUCGUGUCGUGAGAUGUUGGGUUAAGUCCCGUAACGAGCGCAACCCCUAUCCUUAUUUGCCAGCACGUCAUGGUGGGAACUAUAAGGAGACUGCCGGUGAUAAACCGGAGGAAGGCGGGGACGACGUCAAGUCAUCAUGGCCCUUAUGACCAGGGCUACACACGUGCUACAAUGGAGCGUACAGAGGGUUGCUAAGCCGCGAGGUGGAGCCAAUCCCAGAAAACGUUUCGUAGUCCGGAUCGAAGUCUGCAACUCGACUUCGUGAAGUCGGAAUCGCUAGUAAUCGCGAAUCAGCAUGUCGCGGUGAAUACGUUCCCGGGCCUUGUACACACCGCCCGUCACACCAUGGGAGUGGGUUGCAAAAGAAGUGGCUAGUCUAACCUUCGGGAGGACGGUCACCACUUUGUGAUUCAUGACUGGGGUGAAGUCGUAACAAGGUAGCCGUA